GGCAGGCAAACAGGAACGGAAGUUCUCACUCUGGGUCACGUUUUUCAUCCGGAACUAGCAGUCCAGUCUUUCAGCCUUCAGGCUGUUUUUGACUUGAAGGUGGGAUUUCACAAGGGACCGGCCCCUAUCUGCCUAGGCAUUUGACUGCCUCCUGUCACUUAUCACUCAUACGUUUAAAUUUUUAUUUUGUUUUAGAACAUCAAACCUCUAAAAGCCUUCCAUAUCCUCACUUUCAAUUGUCUAUAUCCUAUGUCACUAAAGAAACAGAAGCAAUCAGAAGAGAACUUCCAUUAGCUUCCUCUGUCACCAUCCACCCACCUGCAUUGAGCAAGUUAAAUCUUAUUAGUGUGCCUCCUCCAGAGAAGUACUUCUUCAGUGGCAGUGUUUUAAUGACGUAAAGAAGUCUUUAUUAAUCAGAAAGAAAUCUUACAAUAAAUAAUUUGGGAAUGCAAAUAUUUUUAUGAUCUCAUACAAUUUUAUUAUUCCACCCAUCACAGAAUGAACCUGAUAUUAGGAAAUCUAUGACAUUAAGUAACAUUUUUUAAAAGACUUUUUACAUUCAUCCCUCAAGAAGUAGAGCGCAUUUCCUUUUCUAGCAGCCGCAAAUGACAACCUGCACAAGUUCAACAAUCCACAACUAUAUACAUGGCUACUAUGCAUGAAUAUGAUGACUGCAAAGGAUUGGAAGAAAAGUUAUAAAUAGGUGCUCAUGGAAAUGUCACCUUAGUUCUGAGACUAUAGAAACACUUUUCAGCUGUAC
Gorilla gorilla gorilla (western lowland gorilla) is the source of this 760-nucleotide long non-coding RNA. RefSeq lists it as uncharacterized. The transcript has 3 exons. The record is from RefSeq and is a predicted model, not a curated record. Lineage: Eukaryota; Metazoa; Chordata; Mammalia; Primates; Hominidae.